RNAcentral lists this transfer RNA (73 nucleotides) under Rhizobacter gummiphilus. RNAcentral describes it as "Methylibium sp. NS21 tRNA". It matches the Rfam family "tRNA". Rfam says of the family: Transfer RNA (tRNA) molecules are approximately 80 nucleotides in length. Their secondary structure includes four short double-helical elements and three loops (D, anti-codon, and T loops). Further hydrogen bonds mediate the characteristic L-shaped molecular structure. tRNAs have two regions of fundamental functional importance: the anti-codon, which is responsible for specific mRNA codon recognition, and the 3' end, to which the tRNAs corresponding amino acid is attached (by aminoacyl-tRNA synthetases). tRNAs cope with the degeneracy of the genetic code in two manners: having more than one tRNA (with a specific anti-codon) for a particular amino acid; and 'wobble' base-pairing, i.e. permitting non-standard base-pairing at the 3rd anti-codon position. The record is from Rfam by way of RNAcentral. Lineage: Bacteria; Pseudomonadati; Pseudomonadota; Betaproteobacteria; Burkholderiales; Sphaerotilaceae.
GCCUCGUUGGCUCAGUGGACAGAGCGUCUGGUUACGAACCAGAAGGUCACACGUUCGAAUCGUGUACGAGGCU